This 669-nucleotide ribosomal RNA is filed under the name Triticum aestivum (bread wheat). RNAcentral's name for it is "partial small subunit ribosomal RNA". The record is from RNAcentral. Lineage: Eukaryota; Viridiplantae; Streptophyta; Magnoliopsida; Poales; Poaceae.
AUGAAUCUGUUAGCCUGGAACUGUCGAGGGUUGGGGUUUACCUCGAUAGUUGGCGAGCUUCGGGACCUUAUUAGGUCGCACAACCCAGCGGUGGUGUUCCUUUGUGAAACAAAAAAGAAAUCUAGGGCGAUGGAGAAAUUGAAGUGGAGCCUUGGGUUCAAGAGUGGUGUAGCGGUGGACUGUGUGGGGAGGAGCGGAGGACUAGCCUUGUGGUGGAGAGAGCAUAUUGAGGUAAAGGUGAGGCCUUGGUGCCAAUAUUUCAUUGAUGCUGAGUUAUCUUGGGAGGGCAAAACUUGUAGAUUCACUGGUUUCUACGGUGAGCCCAAGACCGAGCUACGCCAAAAAUCAUGGGAUGAAAUAAGAUACCUCAUAAGGCAAGACAACCUUCCGUGGUUAUGCGCGGGGGAUUUUAAUGAGGCUCUUUUCCAGACGGAUCAAAUAGGCGGGAACCAGAGAAACUUCAAUCAGAUGGAGGACUUCCGGGACUGUCUGGCAGAGAGCGGGCUGGCUGACUUGGGCUUUGUGGGAUACCCAUAUACGUGGGAUAAUAAACGAGACGGUGGGGAGAACAUUCAGGUAAGGCUGGAUAGAGCCACUUGCAAUGAUUCUUUCCUUGAGAUAUUCCCCGAGACAUGGGUGGAGCAUCUCAUUACAGAGGAGUCCGAAUAA